Molecule: ribosomal RNA, 294 nt
Filed under: uncultured bacterium
Lineage: Bacteria
Description: partial 16S ribosomal RNA
Rfam family: Bacterial small subunit ribosomal RNA
Source: RNAcentral
GUGCUUAACACAUGCAAGUCGAGUGCGUGUCCGUAGCAAUACGGAUGACGCACGGCGCACGGGUGCGUAACACGUGGGCAAUCUGCCCUCGGAUGGGGGAUAACCCGUCGAAAGGCGGGCUAAUACCGCAUGAUAUUCCUGGGACCCCGGUCCCGGGACUCAAAGGCCGCAAGGCCGUCGGAGGAGGAGCCCGCGCCCGAUUAGCUUGUUGGCGAGGUAACGGCUCACCAAGGCCAUGAUCGGUAGCCGGUCUGAGAGGAUGGCCGGCCACACUGGAACUGAGACACGGUCCAG